Molecule: long non-coding RNA, 637 nt
Organism: Solenopsis invicta (red fire ant)
Lineage: Eukaryota; Metazoa; Arthropoda; Insecta; Hymenoptera; Formicidae
Exons: 3
Source: RefSeq, a predicted model, not a curated record
UUAUUUCAUUUUGACAAGCCGUCAAUAAUUUCUGUUUUAAAGAUAACAUUAAGAAAUGGUUGGUAUGCAGCGAUCGAGAUAAUCGCUUAAGCAAGCCGUCUAUCCUCUGAAAAAUAUCAGGCUGUUACAAUCAUGAAAAAAUGUCUUCUUGCACAUCUGGCAUUGCCAUCGACUCCGUUCGUAUGGAUCGACGAUGGAAGUAUCUUGCAUACCUACAAAUCCUUUUUUACAACGAGGGCAUAGCACACUACUCAAAUGUGAUUGCAAUUCGUACGGGUCUGCACAUAGAGAGCAUUCGCAUUCGAAAUACUUUCCUUCCCGAAGUGACGUGAGUGUUGCCUCUACAGUCAUGAGCCAUCAAAGUCACCUCGAUGUAUAAACCUCGCAGAAGAAAACCGUCAAGAGCGCCAGGUGAUCGCAAUUCAAAGGCAUUCACAUCCAAAAUUCCGCACAAUUUCUGCAUUAAUUCUGCGCUUGGCGGCUCAAUCUCAGCGGGUAUACGAAGCCUUCGGAUUACCUAUACCACAUACAUAUACAGAAUGGGACAACUAAAGACCUUGAAUGCUUUUGAAUGUAUGAGGAAACUUGUUAGGUAAAUAAUCUAAAAAUAUUUAUAUAGAGUCCCUGUAUCAGUCAA